RNAcentral lists this ribosomal RNA (502 nucleotides) under uncultured bacterium. RNAcentral describes it as "bacterial SSU rRNA". It matches the Rfam family "Bacterial small subunit ribosomal RNA", at positions 29 to 521 of the family's 1533-position model. The record is from RNAcentral.
AUUGAACGCUGGCGGCGUGCCUAACACAUGCAAGUCGAGCGGUAACAGGUGUAGCAAUACAUGCUGACGAGCGGCGGACGGGUGAGUAACGCUUGGGAAUCUGCCUGUUAGUGGGGGGACAACCCGGGGGAAACUCGGGCUAAUACCGCAUACGCACUACGGUGGAAAGCCGGGGACCGCAAGGCCUGGCGCUAACAGAUGAGCCCAAGUCGGAUUAGCUAGUUGGUAGGGUAACGGCCACCAAGGCGACGAUCCGUAACUGGUCUGAGAGGACGACCAGUCACACCGGAACUGAGACACGGUCCGGACUCCUACGGGAGGCAGCAGUGGGGAAUAUUGGACAAUGGGCGAAAGCCUGAUCCAGCGACGCCGCGUGGGUGAAGAAGGCCUGCGGGUUGUAAGACCCUUUUCGGUGGGGGAAGAAAGCCUCGAGUUAAUACCUCGGGGUCUUGACGUAACCCAUAGAAGAAGCACCGGCUAACUCUGUGCCAGCAGCCGCGGU